Molecule: ribosomal RNA, 772 nt
Filed under: Lactococcus lactis
Lineage: Bacteria; Bacillati; Bacillota; Bacilli; Lactobacillales; Streptococcaceae
Description: bacterial SSU rRNA
Rfam family: Bacterial small subunit ribosomal RNA
Source: RNAcentral
UGGGGGCGUGCCUAUACAUGCAAGUUGAGCGCUGAAGGUUGGUACUUGUACCGACUGGAUGAGCAGCGGACGGGUGAGUAACGCGUGGGGAAUCUGCCUUUGAGCGGGGGACAACAUUUGGAAACGAAUGCUAAUACCGCAUAACAACUUUAAACACAAGUUUUAAGUUUGAAAGAUGCAAUUGCAUCACUCAAAGAUGAUCCCGCGUUGUAUUAGCUAGUUGGUGAGGUAAAGGCUCACCAAGGCGAUGAUACAUAGCCCACCUGAGAGGGGGAUCGGCCACAUUGGGACUGACACACGGCCCAAACUCCUACGGGAGGCAGCAGUAGGGAAUCUGCGGCAAUGGACGAAAGUCUGACCGAGCAACGCCGCGUGAGUGAAGAAGGUUUUCGGAUCGUAAAACUCUGUUGGUAGAGAAGAACGUUGGUGAGAGUGGAAAGCUCAUCAAGUGACGGUAACUACCCAGAAAGGGACGGCUAACUACGUGCCAGCCGCCGCGGUAAUACGUAGGUCCCGAGCGUUGUCCGGAUUUGUUGGGCGUAAAGCGAGCGCAGGUGGUUUAUUAAGUCUGGUGUAAAAGGUAGUGGCUCAACCAUUGUAUGCAUUGGAUACUGGUAGACUUGAGAGCAGGAGAGGAGAGUGGAAUUUCCUGUGUAGAGGCGAAAUGCAUAGAUAGAAGGAGGAACACAUCUGGUCAAGGCUGCUCUCUGGCCUGUCACUGAUACUGAUGCUCUAAAGGGUGGAGAGCAGCUUUCAUUACAUACGCUGGUAG